GGAGUCGUCGCGCCUCGGCUGCGAGUCAGGACUGAGGCUGUCCCCCUCCCGCCUCCCUCAGGGGCCCUGGCGCGGGUGCCUCCAGGUUCCACCCCUCACCUGCCCCUUGGUGUCGGGCCGGGACCCUGGAGAGGUCGUGAGGGAGUCCUGGGCGCGGGCUCCGGGAGGCUGCGGCGCGGGUCUGAGGUAAACGGCCCGGCCGCUGCGGGCCCUUGCGGGGGCUGGUUCCAGCAGCAACCGCCGGGCAGGGCCCCUCCCGACCGCGACCUCCUGUCCGCACCGUAGGGCAGCCGGCCGGGCCAGCCUCCCUCACAGGACUACCGAGGAAGAGGUAGGAUUUCACUCUGUCACCCAGGCGGGAGUGCAGUGGUGCGAUCAUAGCGGGGACUACAAGUGUGCACCACAUGCUUGUCUACGAACCUGAAGUAUUCUGAUGCAGUGGAGAGAGUGUAGAACUCUGGAGUGAAGAGAUCUGCCUGGAACCCUGACUCUAUCACUAGGAGAUUCCUUGGAAUGAAACCAAUGGGAGUCCAGGGUUUGGGAGAGUCUCAUCAGAGCAGAUGGGCGAGCAGCAGCCAGAACGCUUGUUGCCUUUGGCUGAGAACACUAUCCUGGAUCUGAAUGUCUUCUUUGUCACUCCAAGAGAUGGCCCUGGGACUGAGAAGUGGAUGGCAGCUGUGACAGCAGGAGAGGACUGCCUGAGGCUCCCCGGGCAGAGGCUCUGGUGCCAGGUUAGCAGCAGGACCGACGGCAGACCCAGCAGCCAGAGAGUGAAAGGCCAACUUCUCAGCCCCCCUGGCCUGCUCCAUCCCGUCAACUCUCCCAGGAACUACCAGCACCCACCUAAGGGACACCAGCCGCCCUGUGAAAGGACAAGCCAGAGACCCCUGGAGCUCGGAUGUGGAAGGAUGUGGGGAGCUGCCUGGUCCUGUCUCCCACUGCCGCAGAGGGACAUGAGGGAUGGAGCAGGACUGGCAACCUGGAGAGGAAGUCACUCCUGGUCCUGAGCCCUGUUCAAAGGGCCAGGCUCCCCUCUACCCCAUUGUCCAUGUGACAGAGCUCAAACACACAGACCCCAACUUUCCCUCCAACUCCAAUGCUGUCGGCACCUCAAGUGGCUGGAACAGGAUUGGCACGGGCUGCAGCCAUACCUGGGACUGGAGGUUCUCCUGCACCCAGCAGGCCCUUUUGCCCCUACUAGGAGCCUGGGAAUGGAGCAUUGACACAGAAGCAGGAGGAGGAAGGAGAGAGCAGAGCCAGAAACCCUGCAGCAACGGAGGGCCUGCAGCAGCUGGAGAGGGCCGAGUCCUCCCAAGCCCCUGCUUUCCAUGGAGCACUUGCCAGGCAGCCAUUCACAAAGUGUGUCGUUGGCAGGGAUGCACCAGACCAGCUCUCCUGGCACCAUCCCUGGCCACACUCAAGGAACACAGUUAUCCCUGAUGCUCUUGGCCUCUCUCCCUGAGCAGUACUCACCAGGGCCCACCUGACUCACGAUAGCCCCUGCCCAACAGGUACAAGUGGAGCUGGUGCUGGCCCCGGGCUGCCUCCCACCCAGGUGCCUGGCCUGUGGCUCCAAGGUGGACUCCCAGGCCCAGCACCACCAGCAGCAGCAACAGGCGACUGUCCAGUGAGGCCCAGUGGGCCACUGAGGAGCCGCCUCUACCCAGGGAUCCUGCCUCCCACCACGGCCCUCUCUAGGGCAUCUGCAUUGAAGGAUGCCACAGCCUUCUGCCAAUCUGACCAUCCCAGGCUAGAAGGCUGAUGCAGCCCCAGACCACGCUCCAGAUUCAAGGGCCUUGCUGGGGGCAAACAAGGUGGAACAUAACACGUCUGCCAAAGUGAAGGAGGACUCCCCAGUCCCAUCACCCAGAGCCCUGCUGGUGGGGUCAAAUCAUCGGCGCCUGCCUCACGGGCUGGACUGGUGCCAUGCCAGCUGGGAUGCCCAGUUUGGGAGAAGCCUGACCAGGGCCUCUGUUUGGCAAGGCUUCCCUGGCAGCCCUGGGUACCUGCCUGUGUACCCCCGUUCUCAGGGUCUCCCCACCUUCUGUGCUGUGGGUCCCCAUGCUAAACAGCACUAGAUACCGAUAACCUUCUUGACUAUACUGAAGCCACCUUCCUGCUGCCCACCAGCCUCAGUGACAGCAACAGACCCCUCUGCCCAGGCCGGCCUCACACGGGGCUAAAGACACCCACGGCUCCUGCCAGCAGGGUCCACACAGGCCACCUCGCUGCCCGUCCUCUCCCUCAGCCCCUCCUUAAGCACUCCUGCAGGCUCUCCCAGCUGCUGCCAGCACAUCCCGGGUGAGGCUUGCCCGGACCCACAGGCAACCUGGGCCCCUGCCAAGCCAGAAUCCACUCUCAGCUGUGCCUUUCUCGGCCCUGAGCAAAGCAGAUCAGUGGAGUCAGAGGCACCUUUGGGGCAGACAGGGGAAGAGGAGUGCAUUCAUUGGGGAAAGGUUGGGAGCUACCCAGCCGUAGGCUGGCAAAUCAGCUCCUGGCCGGGGGCACCCUGACUUACAGGCUUUGCCUGAUUUCUGUGGUGUAAAUUCUCCCCUUGUGCCCAGUUUCAAGCUACUAAUGUGUCGUGGACCGUAACUGGGGAGCAACACAGAGUCAGCUGGCCACGAUGCCAGUCACUGCUGAGCUGCCAAACCUUACGCGUCCCAGGGGGCACCUGCCUAGAGGCCAGGCACUGCACUGGACCCUCAGACACAGCUUGUGCAGCCUGCUUAGGAGCUUGGGAAAUGACUGUCAUCUGUGAUCUUGCUGGUCCCAGGAAGCCCAUUUUACAGAUGAGGAAACUGAGGCCCAAAGGCACGAAGCGACCUCUCUCAGCCUCACCAAGAGCACUGGAAGGUGGUGUAGGGCUGCGGCCGUGCGCACAGAGAGCACAGCAGCAGGAAGGCUCCUGGGCCUCCAGCUCCCCUCCCUCAGAAGCCUCCCAGAGUGACAGGAAGGUCAGAGGCCCCGGGGAGGGGGCGGGGCCAGGAUCUGGCAAUUUCCUAUCCCUCUCUGUUGGCUCUGUGCAUCUAAUUACUCCUUGAGUCAUCUGUUGCUAACCAGGAGGGGAAAUUAAAUAUUAAUAAUGUAAUACUUCUCUGUGAUUACCCCUUGUUGGGGACAGAUCAGAGGGCAGAUGCUGCCCCAUACAGACAGGGGACACAUGCUGCGGAAUGUGCAUAAUGCCUCUUGAAAGAACCACCUUAUAGGAUUCCACGCGGUCAGACUCAAAACUGCUGCUGCUUCCUGCCUUCCUCCUCACCUCCCCCAACCUGGCCACUUUAAUUAAAACUCCAUUUAAUCAAAACCCACACAUCUUCUGGUUCCUCAUAUGUCGCACUAGCAAGGCCCUCUGUACACAUGCCCAGAUGGUGGCUAUACCCCCCAGAGCCUGCUGCACGGAGGUGCCCACCAGCUUCUAGGCAGUGACCUGCACAUCUGCUCCUGAGUGCGGCUAAGAGCAACAUACAGGACACAGUGCACGGACUCGGACCCGCUCCAGCCAUGCCUGGCCUGUUCCUGGGCUCCAGAAUCCCAGCCUUAGAACCCUCCUGCUGCUUUUCCAUAACAAAUGUUUACCAAGUACCUCCACCAGGCCUGGCAGCACCCCAACUGCUGGGCCAAAGGGAGGUGUGCCCCCGUUGCUGUGCCUGGCCCCAUCUGAGCAUAUGGCAGGGGACCUCAAAGGAGGAAAGGACCCAGGACAUUCCUGGGAGGCGGCUGCUGCCCUGCAGUUUCAGGCACUGCAGGCCACUCCCUGUCUCCACAACAUUGGCUCAGCUAAGAGGAGUCGCAAAUCAAUUUCAAAGCGCAAGAGGUAUAUGAAGGCUAAGAAAGGUAAGCAACAGAAUAAAAAACAUGGAGGUGAAUUCAUUCCAGUAGGAAGGAAGGUAAUACAGUAAUCUAAUAAUGAUUUCAGAGACCUUUAGAAUCUCCAAAGAGGCAAAGAAAGGAAUGGCAUCCGUAGACAAGAAUGAGAACUUCUGAACCGACUGGCGGAAAUGAAACAAGGACAGGUGGAUAUGAACAAGAAAUAAUACAAAAUCCAGGGACUGAAAAAUAGAAGGACUGAAGUAAGGGAUGUGGUGAGCUUCAGGCACACGUACAGUGGAAGAGACGACUGGGGAUCUGAAGCUAGUACUGAGGAAUUCUCCCAGAAACGCCAUGAAGAGACCUAGUCUAGGAGGAAACGGUUGAGAGGCAUGGGGUGGACUGAGAAGCAUCAACAAGUGGCUUGCGGGAGCUCGGCAGGGCACGGCAGGUUGUGGGCCCCACUAUGACUGGCUUUUGGGAUGGCCCAGGGGGGCCUGGGCAUGAACCUCCCAGAACCCAGGGCCCCAGGAUCCCCAUACCCCUUCCAAACUCAUCAGCGCAGGUGCCUUCCUCACUGCCCAGUGGUAAGCAGCCACCCAGCACGGGCUCCACUUCCCUCCUGACCUCCGGGGCUGCCCGGUGGCCCUUACUUCAGGCGCUGGGUGCAGGCUGGGCCCGGGACCCAGAGAUACACCUGGCAUCCCUCCCCCACAGCCCGGGUGCAGCUGCAGCUCUCUGCUCCUGGUGGCAGGAUGUGGGCAAGAUGGGGCCAAGACCCAGCUCCCUGCAGCUGGAGGCUAAGGCUCUGAGCCUGCCUCACAGAGCAGCCCCCACAUCGCAGCCCCGGGGCCAGUGCUGGGGGCCCCAGCUCCUGCUCCCCACACCCCCAUGUGUCCAGGCUAGGGGCCAGGAAGGCCACAGCACCCCCUCCUCCCCGCCUGGGGGCCACUCACCCCCUCACACGAGGCUUCACCUGACAGCCCUCCUCCGAGGGGCCGCACCCCGCACCAAGGUGCU
This 4830-nucleotide long non-coding RNA is filed under the name Homo sapiens (human). RNAcentral's name for it is "non-protein coding ADORA2A-AS1:11". The record is from RNAcentral. Lineage: Eukaryota; Metazoa; Chordata; Mammalia; Primates; Hominidae.